CCUUGGCGCGCCUCACCAUACUCUUCCAGGUGCAAGGAAUGCAUUCUGAUUUCGCAACUCUAAAGAAGGCCAGCAUAUGGCAUGAGGCUUCAAGGAUUGCUCGUGAAGAAGGAUUUAGAGCUUUCUGGAAAGGGAAUCUAGUCACAAUUGCCCAUCGCCUUCCUUAUUCUUCUGUAAACUUUUAUACUUAUGAGCAGUACAAGAAGUUGCUUCAUAUGAUCCCAGGAGGGAAAG
This is a long non-coding RNA of Eucalyptus grandis, 234 nucleotides long. RefSeq lists it as uncharacterized. The record is from RefSeq and is a predicted model, not a curated record. NCBI's taxonomy places the organism in Eukaryota, Viridiplantae, Streptophyta, Magnoliopsida, Myrtales, Myrtaceae. The transcript has 3 exons.